GACGAACGCUGGCGGCGUGCUUAACACAUGCAAGUCGAACGGAAAGGCCCUGCUUUUGUGGGGUGCUCGAGUGGCGAACGGGUGAGUAACACGUGAGUAACCUGCCCUUGACUUUGGGAUAACUUCAGGAAACUGGGGCUAAUACCGGAUAGGAGCUCCUGCUGCAUGGUGGGGGUUGGAAAGUUUCGGCGGUUGGGGAUGGACUCGCGGCUUAUCAGCUUGUUGGUGGGGUAGUGGCUUACCAAGGCUUUGACGGGUAGCCGGCCUGAGAGGAUGACCGGCCACAUUGGGACUGAGAAACGGCCCAGACUACUACGGGAGGAGGCAGUGGGGAAUAUUGCACAAUGGGCGGAAGCCUGAUGCAGCAACGCCGCGUGCGGGAUGACGGCCUUCGGGUUGUAAACCGCUUUCGACUGUGACGAAGCGUGAGUGAAGGUAAUGGGUAAAGAAGCACCGGCUAACUACG
RNAcentral lists this ribosomal RNA (466 nucleotides) under uncultured bacterium. Its description in RNAcentral is "partial 16S ribosomal RNA". It matches the Rfam family "Bacterial small subunit ribosomal RNA", at positions 28 to 505 of the family's 1533-position model. The record is from RNAcentral.